Molecule: ribosomal RNA, 253 nt
Filed under: uncultured bacterium
Lineage: Bacteria
Description: partial 16S ribosomal RNA
Rfam family: Bacterial small subunit ribosomal RNA
Source: RNAcentral
UACGGGGGGGGCAAGCGUUGUUCGGAAUUACUGGGCGUAAAGGGCUCGUAGGCGGCCAGCUAAGUCAUACGUGAAAUCCCGCGGCUUAACCGGGGAACUGCGUCUGAUACUGGAUGGCUUGAGUUCGGGAGAGGGAUGCGGAAUUCCAGGUGUAGCGGUGAAAUGCGUAGAUAUCUGGAGGAACACCGGUGGCGAAGGCGGCAUCCUGGGCCGAUACUGACGCUGAGGAGCGAAAGCGAGGGGAGCAAACGGG